RNAcentral lists this transfer RNA (72 nucleotides) under Pangasianodon hypophthalmus (striped catfish). RNAcentral's name for it is "tRNA-Glu". Lineage: Eukaryota; Metazoa; Chordata; Actinopteri; Siluriformes; Pangasiidae. The record is from RNAcentral.
UCCCUGGAGGACUAGAGGUUAGUCCAAGACGCUCUCACCACCGCGGCCUGAGUUCGAUUCCCAGCUAGGGAC